GAUGAACGCUGGCGGCGUGCCUAAUACAUGCAAGUAGAACGCUGAAGGAGGAGCUUGCUCUUCUGGAUGAGUUGCGAACGGGUGAGUAACGCGUAGGUAACCUGCCUGGUAGCGGGGGAUAACUAUUGGAAACGAUAGCUAAUACCGCAUGACAACAGUUAUUGCAUGAUAACUGUUUAAAAGGGGCAACUGCUCCACUACCAGAUGGACCUGCGUUGUAUUAGCUAGUUGGUGAGGUAACGGCUCACCAAGGCGACGAUACAUAGCCGACCUGAGAGGGUGAUCGGCCACACUGGGACUGAGACACGGCCCAGACUCCUACGGGAGGCAGCAGUAGGGAAUCUUCGGCAAUGGACGGAAGUCUGACCGAGCAACGCCGCGUGAGUGAAGAAGGUUUUCGGAUCGUAAAGCUCGGUUGUAAGAGAAGAACGAGUGUGAGAGUGGAAAGUUCACAAUGUGACGGUAUCUGACCAGAAAGGGACGGCUAACUACGUG
This 495-nucleotide ribosomal RNA is filed under the name uncultured bacterium. Its description in RNAcentral is "partial 16S ribosomal RNA". It matches the Rfam family "Bacterial small subunit ribosomal RNA", at positions 28 to 507 of the family's 1533-position model. The record is from RNAcentral.